RNAcentral lists this ribosomal RNA (451 nucleotides) under uncultured bacterium. RNAcentral describes it as "bacterial SSU rRNA". It matches the Rfam family "Bacterial small subunit ribosomal RNA", at positions 29 to 524 of the family's 1533-position model. The record is from RNAcentral.
AACGAACGCUGGCGGUAGGCUUAACACAUGCAAGUCGAACGGAUCCUUCGGGAUCAGUGGCGGACGGGUGAGUAACGCGUGGGAACCUACCCUGGGGUGGGGAAUAACCUUGGGAAACCGAGGCUAAUACCGCAUACGCCCUAUUGGGGAAAGACUAUGUUGCCCUGGGAUGGGCCCGCGUCCGAUUAGCUAGUUGGUGGGGUAAUGGCCUACCAAGGCUGCGAUCGGUAGCUGGUCUGAGAGGAUGAUCAGCCACACUGGGACUGAGACACGGCCCAGACUCCUACGGGAGGCAGCAGUGGGGAAUAUUGGACAAUGGGGGCAACCCUGAUCCAGCCAUGCCGCGUGAGUGAAGAAGGCCUUAGGGUUGUAAAGCUCUUUCACCCGUGACGAUGAUGACGGUAGCGGGAGAAGAAGCCCCGGCUAAUUCCGUGCCAGCAGCCGCGGUAAU